RNAcentral lists this ribosomal RNA (539 nucleotides) under uncultured bacterium. Its description in RNAcentral is "bacterial SSU rRNA". It matches the Rfam family "Bacterial small subunit ribosomal RNA", at positions 356 to 896 of the family's 1533-position model. The record is from RNAcentral.
GAGGAAUAUUGGUCGAUGGACGGAAGUCUGAACCAGCCAAGUAGCGUGCAGGAAGACGGCCCUAUGGGUUGUAAACUGCUUUUGUAUGGGGAUAAAGUCAAUCACGUGUGAUUGUUUGCAGGUACCAUACGAAUAAGGACCGGCUAAUUCCGUGCCAGCAGCCGCGGUAAUACGGAAGGUUCGGGCGUUAUCCGGAUUUAUUGGGUUUAAAGGGAGCGUAGGCCGGAGAUUAAGUGUGUUGUGAAAUGUAGACGCUCAACGUCUGACUUGCAGCGCAUACUGGUUUCCUUGAGUACGCACAACGUUGGCGGAAUUCGUCGUGUAGCGGUGAAAUGCUUAGAUAUGACGAAGAACUCCGGUUGCGAAGGCAGCUGACGGGAGCGCAACUGACGCUGAAGCUCGAAGGUGCGGGUAUCGAACAGGAUUAGAUACCCUGGUAGUCCGCACAGUAAACGAUGGAUGCCCGCUGUUGGUACCUGGUAUCAGCGGCUAAGCGAAAGCAUUAAGCAUCCCACCUGGGGAGUACGCCGGCAACGGUG